RNAcentral lists this ribosomal RNA (253 nucleotides) under uncultured bacterium. RNAcentral describes it as "partial 16S ribosomal RNA". It matches the Rfam family "Bacterial small subunit ribosomal RNA", at positions 524 to 776 of the family's 1533-position model. The record is from RNAcentral.
UACGUAGGGUGCAAGCGUUAAUCGGAAUUACUGGGCGUAAAGCGUGCGCAGGCGGUUGUGCAAGACAGAUGUGAAAUCCCCGGGCUCAACCUGGGAAUUGCAUUUGUGACUGCACGGCUAGAGUGUGUCAGAGGGGGGUAGAAUUCCACGUGUAGCAGUGAAAUGCGUAGAGAUGUGGAGGAAUACCGAUGGCGAAGGCAGCCCCCUGGGAUAACACUGACGCUGAGGUGCGAAAGCGUGGGGAGCAAACAGG